RNAcentral lists this ribosomal RNA (524 nucleotides) under uncultured bacterium. RNAcentral's name for it is "partial 16S ribosomal RNA". It matches the Rfam family "Bacterial small subunit ribosomal RNA", at positions 28 to 523 of the family's 1533-position model. The record is from RNAcentral.
GACGAACGCUGGCGGCGUGCCUAAUACAUGCAAGUCGAACGAAGCUGUUUUAACUGGUGCUUGCACCGACUUAAACAACUGAGUGGCGAACGGGUGAGUAACACGUGGGUAACCUGCCCCAAAGCGGGGGAUAACAUUUGGAAACAGAUGCUAAUACCGCAUAACCACAGAAACCACAUGGUUUCUGUGUAAAAGAUGGCUCCGUCUAUCACUUUGGGAUAGACCCGCGGAGUAUUAGCUAGUUGGUAAGGUAAUGGCUUACCAAGGCAAUGAUACGUAGCCGAACUGAGAGGUUGAUCGGCCACAUUGGGACUGAGACACGGCCCAAACUCCUACGGGAGGCAGCAAUAGGGAAUCUUCCACAAUGGACGAAAGUCUGAUGGAGCAACGCCGCGUGAGUGAAGAAGGUUUUCGGAUCGUAAAACUCUGUUGUCAGAGAAGAACGUGUGCGAGAGUAACUGCUCGUGCAGUGACGGUAUCUGGCCAGAAAGCCACGGCUAACUACGUGCCAGCCGCCGCAGUAA